AUUGAACGCUGGCGGAAUGCUUUACACAUGCAAGUCGAACGGCAGCACGGACUUCGGUCUGGUGGCGAGUGGCGAACGGGUGAGUAAUGUAUCGGAACGUGCCCAGUCGUGGGGGAUAACGUAGUGAAAAUUACGCUAAUACCGCAUACGAUCUAUGGAUGAAAGCGGGGGAUCGCAAGACCUCGCGCGAUUGGAGCGGCCGAUAGCAGAUUAGGUAGUUGGUGGGGUAAGGGCCCACCAAGCCAACGAUCUGUAGCUGGUCUGAGCGGACGACCAGCCACACUGGAACUGAGACACGGUCCAGACUCCUACGGGAGGCAGCAGUGGGGAAUUUUGGACACUGGGCGAAAGCCUGAUCCAGCCAUUCCGCGUGCAGGAUGAAGGCCCUCGGGUUGUAAACUGCUUUUGUACAGAACGAAAAGGUUUCUACUAAUACUAGGAGCUCAUGACGGUACUGUAAGAAUAAGCACCGGCUAACUACGUGCCAGCCGCCGCAGUAA
RNAcentral lists this ribosomal RNA (500 nucleotides) under uncultured bacterium. RNAcentral's name for it is "partial 16S ribosomal RNA". It matches the Rfam family "Bacterial small subunit ribosomal RNA", at positions 30 to 523 of the family's 1533-position model. The record is from RNAcentral.